This is a long non-coding RNA of Hevea brasiliensis (rubber tree), 631 nucleotides long. RefSeq lists it as uncharacterized. The record is from RefSeq and is a predicted model, not a curated record. The transcript has 2 exons. Lineage: Eukaryota; Viridiplantae; Streptophyta; Magnoliopsida; Malpighiales; Euphorbiaceae.
UAUCUCUAUAGUCAUGGGUAUGAUUUUAUGUUUCUUAAAUCGCAUCUCUUUUUUAACACUUCGUAUUUGUUAUGAUCUAAUUUGAUCUGAUUUGUUUUUGUUUUUUCUGGUUCUGGAUUUUAAUUUGCAGGGAAGGUUAAGUUCAGGAUCCAUGGUAAUAGAUUCUUUUUUUUUUUAUUCUCUCAAUUGUAAGAAUUUAUUUUGGUUUGAUCUUGGUGAUUAAAACCUAAUCGAUGUUGGUGGAAAUGGAAAACUAGGAUUUUGAAGGAUGGGAAGGUUGGUGGCCAAAGUGGCUCUGUAGAGAGACGAUGUUGAGCUCAUCUCCGUUCAUGAUCCCUUCAUUUCCGUUGAAUACAUGAUGAGAAAUAGAAUUUCAGGGAAGGAUGAAGAAAAAUUGAAUCAAGAAGAGAGGAUUUCAGAAGAGAAUUACAGAUUGAUGAGAACUAUAGAUAGAAUCAAGAAACAAAACGGGGAUUGAGGCAUUUUGCAAAACGAAAAUGGAAGUAGAGAAAAGAAACUCAAUUUCAAAAACCCAAGAAGAACAGAGAAAACGGAAAAUAAUUUCAAAGAAAGGAACAAGAAACUUGUAAUUCCUUUUUUAAUAGCAAGCUUUCUCUACCAUGGUUGAGAA